CUCACCGGGGCAUCGGAGCCCCUCCUCCGAACAUGCCCGAACCACCUCAGCCUCGCUUCCCGCAUCUUCUCGUCCACCGGGGCCACCCCUACCUUCCGUCGAAUAACUUCAUUCUUGAUCUUAUCCAGCCUGGUGUGCCCACACAUCCACCUAAGCAUCCUCAUCUGCGCAACCUUCAUUCUCUGAACAUGCGAGUUCUUCACGGGCCAGCA
Molecule: long non-coding RNA, 212 nt
Filed under: Nicotiana benthamiana
Lineage: Eukaryota; Viridiplantae; Streptophyta; Magnoliopsida; Solanales; Solanaceae
Description: long non-coding RNA (NBEN_LNC032590)
Source: RNAcentral